AUGUCCACCUCCACUGCCGCCGUCUUCUUUGGCCUCAACUACAACAUCUCUGAGCCUCUCACUCGGACGAACUACAUUCUCUGGCGAGCCCAAGCACGAUCCCAGAUAUUAGGCACCGGCUUGUAUGGCUAUAUCAAUCAAUCCAUCGAAGAACCUCAAACAAUCUCCACCAAAGAUAAAGAUGGCAAGGAUCAAGUAGUCUCCAAUCCUGCCUAUACCCCUUGGCUAGUCCAAGAUCAACAAAUCGUAGCAUACCUUAUCCACAAUAUGUCAAAAGAGGUACUUGUUCAAGUGGCCUCGCUUGAGUCAUCGCAUGCAAUCUGGGCUGCGUUGGCAAAUAUGUUCUCUGCAGUAUCAUUAUCCCGUGUCAACAAUAUCCGAUCUGCCCUCACCAAUGCACAGAAAGGAUCCCAGUCGGCCUCGGCGUACUUCGGCCACAUGUGCUCCCUCUCUGAUGAGCUCACGGCGGCGAGCAAACCACCCGGGGAGGGGAAGCUCAUCUCCUUCAUCGUCGCUGGGCUCGAUAUGGAGUAUCAACUGAUCAUCUCUACACUCGACGUCCGCACCGAGCCCAUCACCAUCGACGCACUUUUUUCACUGGUGGCGAACUUCGACCGACGGGUCGAGAUGUUCCAUGGGAACGGGCGAGUGGCUUCAAAUCAUCCACGAAUGCUACCUCUAGGGGUCGCUCGGGCGGCAACAAAGGAGGCUACCGCAACCAGAGUGGGGGUCGCAGCGGCGGCUACCCUGGUGGUGGAUCUGGUAGCGGUGGCCAUCGCGCCGGUGGUGGCUAUGGCGCUGGUGGCGGUGGCUAUGCUGCUGGCGGAGGCGGCUGCAGCAAUGGUGGUGGCCCUGGUGGCGGCUAUCACUAGAACAGGGGCGGAGGAGGAGGAUAUCAGGGUGGUGGUGGUGGUGGCAGUGGUGGCUACUACUAUCACCAGAACAAUUCAGGCGGCAGCAAUAACUAUCGGCGCCCCCCGGCAACAACAACAGGGGGCACAACAGUAA
This 1008-nucleotide ribosomal RNA is filed under the name Triticum aestivum (bread wheat). RNAcentral describes it as "partial small subunit ribosomal RNA". The record is from RNAcentral. Lineage: Eukaryota; Viridiplantae; Streptophyta; Magnoliopsida; Poales; Poaceae.